AACAUGUUGAAAUCUUAUAUAUAUACUAAAAAUCUAAAUUAGUUUUUUGAGAUUUUAUGAUUUUAAUAGUUUUCACUUGUUAUCUCAGUUUUUCAAUUGAUAUCAGCUAAAUAUAAAAGUUUUUUGGAUUGCAAAAAUAAAUGCCACAAUGUAAAAAUACAAUUUAAUAUUUAUAACUCAUUUCUACAAAGAUAUUGCUGUCAAAAAAAACAAAGAUAUUAAUUUCAAAUGGACUGAUUAGAUUAAUGUUUUCUGUAUAUAAAGACAUCCAUACAACUCAAAGAUUAUUCAUGUGCUAGUGCUACAAAGGUGAAGCUUGAACUCAUAAUAUUUUUUCUAAUUCGCUAAUUACGUAGAAACUUUUUCACCAUUCUGUUUCGAUCAUACCCAGUUAAUAUCUAGUAUACUAUAAGAAUGUUAAACAAUGAAAUUUACAUAUUUCGCGGAGAUAUAAUAGUUACAUGAAUGGUUUCUAAAAUUUUUAAAGGUGUUUUCUUCGGCAAGUCUUAAACUGACGAAAUAUGAAGUAUUCCUAGUUGAGAAUCAGGAUUUUACCACGUAUAUAGUUAGAUUUGGGUUUGGAUUAAAUUAAAAUGGAACUUAAAUUUGAUUAGAUAUAUAUUGUCAUGUUGUCGUGCUCUAUUUGGUUCAAUCUUCAAUGCAUGUAAGUUUGAAAUUAUAGGAAUUGUGAAUUAAGAUCUUUAUGCAAAAAAAUUUUCACCCGAAGAUGUCAAAGUUACUUUCAAGAAAGUUAUAAUGUGUUUUAGUCUUUGGAGAUGUUUUUUUUUAAUUAUUCUCUUUGUUUGUAAAAUGAAGCUUCGACCAACUUCAAACCAUGGAUGGAGAGGGAAGUAAACCGAAAGCAAAUAUUGAUGAUGCGUAUGCAUAUCUUAGGACUGUGAAGGAUAAAUUUCAUAACGAUCAUGACAAAUAUGACAAAUUUCUUGCUAUUAUGAAUAAUUUUGAAGCUCGGAGGAUUGAUAGGGCUCAUUGCAUAAUAGAGGUGAAGGAACUAUUUAAAGGACAUCAAGACAUGAUAUCUGGUUUCAAUAAAUUCUUGCCAGAGUCGUUGGAGAUCUCUUGUGGCCCAACUUAGAUAGAGGGUUUUACUAUCCAUCAUUUUCAUUUCGGAUCUGAACCGACUUCGGUUUAGAUUUGUUCUAAGUUGAAUCUGUUCUUUCUUCAUAAAGGAAUCAUGUUUUGGAUUUAACCAUUAAGGCUUAAUAAAAAUAAGGUUUCAAGAUC
Brassica napus (rape) is the source of this 1245-nucleotide long non-coding RNA. RefSeq lists it as uncharacterized. The transcript is spliced from 2 exons. The record is from RefSeq and is a predicted model, not a curated record. Lineage: Eukaryota; Viridiplantae; Streptophyta; Magnoliopsida; Brassicales; Brassicaceae.